CCUACGGGUGGCAGCAGUGGGGAAUAUUGCACAAUGGGGGAAACCCUGAUGCAGCGACGCCGCGUGAGUGAAGAAGUAUUUCGGUAUGUAAAGCUCUAUCAGCAGGGAAGAAAAUGACGGUACCUGAUUAAGAAGCCCCGGCUAACUACGUGCCAGCAGCCGCGGUAAUACGGAGGGGGCAAGCGUUAUCCGGAUUUACUGGGUGUAAAGGGAGCGUAGACGGCAGCACAAGUCUGGAGUGAAAGGCGGGGGCUUAACCCCCGAACUGCUUUGGAAACUGUGCGGCUGGAGUGCAGGAGAGGUAAGUGGAAUUCGUAGUGUAGCGGUGAAAUGCGUAGAUAUUAGGAGGAACACCAGUGGCGAAGGCGGCUUACUGGACUGUAACUGACGUUGAGGCUCGAAAGCGUGGGGAGCAAACAGGAUUAGAUACCCCAGUAGUC
Molecule: ribosomal RNA, 440 nt
Filed under: uncultured bacterium
Lineage: Bacteria
Description: partial 16S ribosomal RNA
Rfam family: Bacterial small subunit ribosomal RNA
Source: RNAcentral